This 507-nucleotide ribosomal RNA is filed under the name uncultured bacterium. RNAcentral describes it as "bacterial SSU rRNA". It matches the Rfam family "Bacterial small subunit ribosomal RNA", at positions 19 to 518 of the family's 1533-position model. The record is from RNAcentral.
CUGGCUCAGGAUGAACGCUAGCGGCAGGCUUAACACAUGCAAGUCGAGGGGCAGCGGGAUGUAGCAAUACAUUGCCGGCGACCGGCGGAUGGGUGCGUAACGCGUAUGCAACCUACCUUAUACAGGGGAAUAACCUUUCGAAAGGGAGACUAACACCCCAUAGUAUUGAUUUAAGGCAUCUUAGAUUAAUUAAAUAUUUAUAGGUAUAAGAUGGGCAUGCGUAUGAUUAGCUAGUUGGUAAGGUAACGGCUUACCAAGGCGACGAUCAUUAGGGGUUCUGAGAGGAAGGUCCCCCACACUGGUACUGAGACACGGACCAGACUCCUACGGGAGGCAGCAGUGAGGAAUAUUGGUCAAUGGGCGCAAGCCUGAACCAGCCAUGCCGCGUGCAGGAAAGACGGCCUUAUGGGUUGUAAACUGCUUUUACAUAAGACUAACCGUAUAUUUGCGAAUAUACCUGAAUGUAUUAUGAGAAUAAGGAUCGGCUAACUCCGUGCCAGCCGCUGC